Molecule: long non-coding RNA, 1478 nt
Filed under: Manacus vitellinus (golden-collared manakin)
Lineage: Eukaryota; Metazoa; Chordata; Aves; Passeriformes; Pipridae
Description: lncRNA (ENSMVIG00005017817.1)
Source: RNAcentral
AAUAAUUCUUCCAGGGAAAUUACAAGGGACAGAAUCUUUGUGCAAUGUGCUUAUUGUAAGAUCCCUGUAUUUCUGCUGCCUGUGACGUAAUUUUAUUUCCUUGCAAAUCUUUCUAGCCGCAAAAAAACCAAAACCAAAGACAACUAAGGAAAAAGAAGGUAGGAUUUACUCUGUGUGUGCAUAUAUAUGUAGAAAAUAACAAUAAAAAUAGCAUGAGAUUGCAAAUUUGUAUGUAUUGUUGUUUGAAACAACCCCUAAUACAUCUGUGUUAAUUUUCAAAGAAUAUUACCAGACAAUUCUAGGUAAUAAUCUAUUCAACAGUCAACUUACCAAACUUGAACUGUGCUACUUUUUCCUUGCUAGAAAAACCAACUGAGAAGAAACAGCUGAAAAAUGAAAAAAACAAAGGUGCCCCACCAGUAAAAGAAGCCCCACGACAUCAAAACCUGACAUCAGCUCCUGUUCGCUACUUUCAAUGUGUCUUCCUAAAUGGACCUAAUGGAUUUGGGCUGCAAUUUCCCACUAAUCCCCCUUCAAACAAGGAAGAAAAGACUCACUCAAAGACUUCCAAGAGAAAGACAAGGAAACCGGGGCAGUAGAGAGACUGAGUCCUGUGAUCACUGAUAUUUUGCACUUUACCUUUUCUGCUGAGGUCCACAGUAGCUACAAUGGUACUUAUCAUUGCAAGAACGUGAUCCACUUGCACACAUGUACCUGUAUAAAAUUUCCAUAGGGCAGAGGCAGAACAAGCAGUAAUGAACUGUGUUUAACAAAAAGAAAUGUAAAAGUGCCCCGUUUCUCAUGGAAAGGCUGCAAUGCUAACAAAGCAUUGACAUGACUGUGUGUGUGAGCAUGUGUGUGUGUUUUCCUGCCUCUUUUGCUCUUGUUUUUCUUUACCUACAUGCUCAGCAUUGAAGUGAGUCUGUUUUCCAUUUAAUCUUAUCUAAGCAGAGAAAUGUUGAAUGUAGCUCUUAUAUCAGCAAGAUUGCAAGGCUUCCUGCAAUCCUAAAUCAUUUCUUCUUAAAGUUCAAUCAAACUGCUGACAGGAAAAAACCUCACUAAGUCGUGCAAAUGUGCUCUGUGACUGGUUCUAUUUUUAUGUCUCAUUGACCAGUGUAGCCUAAAGCUCACACUUACUUGGAACAGCCCAACAUACUACCAGUAAGUUGACUCCCCAAGUCAUGCUAAUGAUGAAUAUUUCUAUUUAACUUAAAGUUGUAAAGGCAUGGACUGUUUGCCCUGCCUGUUGGUGAAAUACAAACUCAUCUCCUUUUAAAGCCCAAAGUGAGAAGAGAAAGUGAAACCACAUGGCAAAGUUCAGGAAAACCAGUGUUUUACCAACAUGAAAGUCCCCAGAAACUAAUGAAAUAGUUAUAGUGCUUCUAGUUUUCUUCUGCAGCUAAAUCAGACUGACUUGCACUGAAAACCUUGUAAAUGGAGAAUAUACCAGCCAACCGUUGGCUAUUAGCAUAAGUCAG